UGUGAAGUUACUUAAACAACCAGGAGGUUGGCUUAGAAGCAGCCAUCCUUUAAAGAAAGCGUAAUAGCUCACUGGUCUAGUGAUUUUGCGCGGAAAAUAUAACGGGGCUAAAGUAAGUACCGAAGCUGUAGACUUAGUUUACUAAGUGGUAGGAGAGCGUUCUAUUUGCGUCGAAGGUAUACCGGUAAGGAGUGCUGGAGCGAAUAGAAGUGAGCAUGCAGGCAUGAGUAGCGAUAAUUAAUGUGAGAAUCAUUAACGCCGUAAACCCAAGGUUUCCUACGCGAUGCUCGUCAUCGUAGGGUUAGUCGGGUCCUAAGUCGAGUCCGAAAGGGGUAGACGAUGGCAAAUUGGUUAAUAUUCCAAUACCAACAUUAGUGUGCGAUGGAAGGACGCUUAGGGCUAAGGGGGCUAGCGGAUGGAAGUGCUAGUCUAAGGUCGUAGGAGGUUGUACAGGCAAAUCCGUAUAACAAUACUCCGAGAACUGAAAGGCUUUUUGAAGUCUUCGGAUGGAUAGAAGAACCCCUGAUGCCGUCGAGCCAAGAAAAGUUUCUAAGUUUAGCUAAUGUUGCCCGUACCGUAAACCGACACAGGUGGGUGGGAUGAGUAUUCUAAGGCGCGUGGAAGAACUCUCUUUAAGGAACUCUGCAAAAUAGCACCGUAUCUUCGGUAUAAGGUGUGGUUAGCUUUGUAUUAGGAUUUACUCUGAAAGCAAGGAAACUUACAACAAAGAGUCCCUCCCGACUGUUUACCAAAAACACAGCACUCUGCUAACUCGUAAGAGGAUGUAUAGGGUGUGACGCCUGCCCGGUGCUCGAAGGUUAAUUGAUGGGGUUAGCAUUAGCGAAGCUCUUGAUCGAAGCCCGAGUAAACGGCGGCCGUAACUAUAACGGUCCUAAGGUAGCGAAAUUCCUUGUCGGUUAAAUACCGACCUGCAUGAAUGGCGUAACGAGAUGGGAGCUGUCUCAAAGAGGGAUCCAGUGAAAUUGUAGUGGAGGUGAAAAUUCCUCCUACCCGCGGCAAGACGGAAAGACCCCGUGGACCUUUACUACAGCUUGACACUGCUACUUGGAUAAGAAUGUGCAGGAUAGGUGGGAGGCUUUGAGUAUAUGACGCCAGUUGUAUAUGAGCCAUUGUUGAGAUACCACUCUUUCUUAUUUGGGUAGCUAACCAGCUUGAGUUAUCCUCAAGUGGGACAAUGUCUGGUGGGUAGUUUGACUGGGGCGGUCGCCUCCCAAAUAAUAACGGAGGCUUACAAAGGUUGGCUCAGAACGGUUGGAAAUCGUUCGUAGAGUAUAAAGGUAUAAGCCAGCUUAACUGCAAGACAUACAAGUCAAGCAGAGACGAAAGUCGGUCUUAGUGAUCCGGUGGUUCUGUGUGGAAGGGCCAUCGCUCAAAGGAUAAAAGGUACCCCGGGGAUAACAGGCUGAUCUCCCCCAAGAGCUCACAUCGACGGGGAGGUUUGGCACCUCGAUGUCGGCUCAUCGCAUCCUGGGGCUGGAGCAGGUCCCAAGGGUAUGGCUGUUCGCCAUUUAAAGCGGUACGCGAGCUGGGUUCAGAACGUCGUGAGACAGUUCGGUCCCUAUCUGCCGUGGGCGUAAGAAGAUUGAAGAGAUUUGACCCUAGUACGAGAGGACCGGGUUGAACAAACCACUGGUGUAGCUGUUGUUCUGCCAAGAGCAUCGCAGCGUAGCUAAGUUUGGAAAGGAUAAACGCUGAAAGCAUCUAAGCGUGAAGCCAACUCUAAGAUGAAUCUUCUCUAAGCUCUCUAGAAGACUACUAGUUUGAUAGGCUGGGUGUGUAAUGGAUGAAAGUCCUUUAGCUGACCAGUACUAAUAGAGCGUUUGGCUUAUCUUUAAUAAAGCAU
Molecule: ribosomal RNA, 1864 nt
Filed under: Campylobacter jejuni
Lineage: Bacteria; Pseudomonadati; Campylobacterota; Epsilonproteobacteria; Campylobacterales; Campylobacteraceae
Description: partial 23S ribosomal RNA
Rfam family: Bacterial large subunit ribosomal RNA
Source: RNAcentral